This 321-nucleotide ribosomal RNA is filed under the name uncultured eukaryote. RNAcentral's name for it is "partial 18S ribosomal RNA". It matches the Rfam family "Eukaryotic small subunit ribosomal RNA", at positions 1470 to 1796 of the family's 1831-position model. The record is from RNAcentral.
CCCUUAGAUGUUCUGGGCCGCACGCGCGCUACACUGACGCAUUCAACGAGUCUCCUUGGCCGAGAGGCCUGGGUAAUCUUGUGAACGUGCGUCGUGAUAGGGAUAGAUUAUUGCAAUUAUUAAUCUUGAACGAGGAAUUCCUAGUAAACGCAGAUCAUCAAUCUGCAUUGAUUACGUCCCUGCCCUUUGUACACACCGCCCGUCGCACCUACCGAUUGGAUGGUCCGGUGAGGCCUCGGGAUUGUGGCCGGUGCAUUCAUUUGUGUCGGUUGCGAGAACUUGUCCAAACCUUAUCAUCUAGAGGAAGGUGAANUCGUAACA